AGAGGGUGCGAGCGUUAAUCGGAAUUACUGGGCGUAAAGCGCACGUAGGUGGGUAAACAAGUCGGAUGUGAAAUUCCUGGGCUCAACCUGGGCAUGUCAUUCGAAACUGUAUAUCUAGAGUAUAGUAGAGGGAAGUGGAAUUUCCGGUGUAGCGGUGAAAUGCGUAGAUAUCGGAAGGAACACCAGUGGCGAAGGCGGCUUUCUGGACUAAUACUGACACUGAGGAGCGAAAGCGUGGGUAGCGAACAGGGAUUAGAUACCCUGGUAGUCCACGCUGUAAACGAUGAGUACUAGCCGUCGGGGUGUUAACCAUCUUAGUGGCGCAGCAAACGCGAUAAGUACUCCGCCUGGGGAUUACGGCCGCAAGGUUA
RNAcentral lists this ribosomal RNA (371 nucleotides) under uncultured organism. Its description in RNAcentral is "partial 16S ribosomal RNA". It matches the Rfam family "Bacterial small subunit ribosomal RNA", at positions 527 to 896 of the family's 1533-position model. The record is from RNAcentral.